This 1575-nucleotide long non-coding RNA is filed under the name Parus major (Great Tit). RNAcentral describes it as "lncRNA (ENSPMJG00000011289.1)". The record is from RNAcentral. Lineage: Eukaryota; Metazoa; Chordata; Aves; Passeriformes; Paridae.
CCCGGGUCCGCCUGCGCCUGCGCCCGGCCCCGAGCGGCGGCGUUGUGUGCGGCCAGUGCCCGUGAGGGGCUGCGCCCUCAGCGGCGCCGCCGGGGCGGGCCCGGCCGCACGGAGAGGCGCUGCGGGAACCGGGGCUGCAGGGCUACUACCGUCCCCCGGGCUGCGAGGAGUGAGAGACACGGAGAGUUUGUUUGCAGAAACAAGCUCGGAGGGACAAGUCGAGAGGCGGGAACAGUCUGCUUUUGCUAAGAGUGGAAAUGCCUCUGCUGAAAUGAUCUUGUGGAAAUAGGAAGAUGCAAGAAGAAAAUGUUCAAGUAAUCUGUAAAGCCUGCACAAUGCUACAAACAGAAGGAAAGUUCACAUAAGAAAAUGAGAGUUGGUGGAUAGUGAUUGAUCGGUAUCAUAUGCUGUCCUCAUGUGGUAUGUAUGUAUCUGUUUUCCACAAUUAAUGAAAACCCUGUUGUUUUUUCUACUCUACUUCUAAAACAUGCCUUUCUUUUUGUGAUGUCUGUGACUUUCAGUGUUGUUGGGACUUAGUUCCAUUCUUUCCAGUGUUUUUUUUAUUUUUUGCAAUAAUUACAUUAGCUGCCAUCUCCAAAGAGGAAACCAGUUUUUCCAGUUAUAAAUGAGAUUAACUGUGAAAAGUGAGAAAAGGAAGAUGCUGAGGGUGUACCUGAGCAGUAUUUCUACAGCACUUCCAAAAGGUAAUACAAGAUAAUGUUUUGAGAGAACAAUGUGGGCAGAGUAAAGGAGGUAAGUCCUGUACUUCUAGUUAAAUGAUAUUUUUCGUUAUUGUGGGAAAUAUAUCUAUCUAAAUUGCUUUUCUCUGUUUUCCAAAUAUCUUGAAGUUGGAGGCUAGCAUGCACAGGGAGGUUGUUGGUGUGGUUUUCUGUAUUUGCAUGGUGACUUUCAGAAGACCUUAGGGGUGGAAGGAGGGGAAAUAUGUUGGUUUCAUUGCGAGAAUCAGCCUCGAGCUAUACCAUGAUCUUUGCUUCUUCUCCAGCCUCUAACCAGGGUAUGUUGGGACUUCACUUUGUGGGGAUGAGGCAAGUGGAGGCACAAUAGAGACAGGUGAGAUUAUAGAAAACAGUAUUUUUGCUUGUUAGCUCAAAUCAGGCUCUCAGGAAGAAGAUAACUGAGGCAACACCUAACUGGAGAAAGAGCCAGAAAGGGCAAAUUUCUUUGCAAGGACAGUCUAUGGAGUAUAUUAUAAAAUGAUGGCUGUCUUUCACAGAAAUAUUACUAAAAUUGAAUUAAAAAGUAUGCACUUGCAUGUCAAUUUAACCUUUUAAUUUUUCUCCCUUAGCUCAUCCACAUGUUCCCACCUCUUGUAUCUUCCCUUGUAUAAAGCAUCUUCAUUUCAACACUUUUCUCUGUAAAACUCUUCUUUCACUCCCAAACAUUUCUAGCAGAACCCAGCACAGUGUGACUCACAUGUGACAUCCUUCUCAGACCCCCAGGGGAUGGAAACCCUGGCCAGGUUGCUUCAUUACCAAGGAGGGCUGCAAAGUUAUUAUUCAAAUGGUAAAAUUCAUUCAAAAUAAAUCUUGUUGCCUGAGAUGUUAAUGGCUUUAU